Molecule: non-coding RNA, 980 nt
Organism: Odocoileus virginianus texanus
Lineage: Eukaryota; Metazoa; Chordata; Mammalia; Artiodactyla; Cervidae
Source: RefSeq, a predicted model, not a curated record
ACCCAGCCUCACUUCCUGGGCUUCCUGCUCUUGAACAUAAUCAGGUCCUUUGCUGAUAGACCUGUGAUUGGAAGACCCUGGGGUGUUGCUGAACUCAGUCUGAGCACCCUGGAAGGAAGACAGAAGAUGCUGGGAGAGGGGCCAGCUUGCAGCAGAAGGACAGUGGGAAUGGCAUGUGAGCCCCCAGUCUAGAAUGAUAUCCCCCUUUGAGCUGACAGCCCCAUCUCCAGCCCCAGGGAUGGUGCUUGCUGAAGAAGUACAAAUGUUUCCUGCUGCUUGUAAUCUAUCUUGCAAAUAUAAGUAUUCUGGAAGAAGGAUUUAUUUUAAUAAUGGUUGACCUGCAGCUGUGAGGAGAGACUGGCUUUGGAAGCCGCACAGGGCAGGCAGCGUGUUUCGGCCCCGGACCUGCAGCCGUGAGGAGAGACUGGCUUUGGAAGCCGCACGGGGCGGGCAGCGUGUUCCGGCCCCGGACCUGCAGCCGUGAGGAGAGACUGGCUUUGGAAGCUGCAUGGGGCGGGCAGCGUGUUCCGGCCCCGGUAGUCCCAGCGGCGUCGUCGCUCCUCCGUGACUCACUGGAGGGGGGAGCCGUCCCCUCGUGGAGCAGGUGAGAUGGCGGAGCCUGCGGGAGGCCCUGCUGGGCCCUCUGUGUGUCAUGGGAGCGGUCGAGGGGUUUCUCCCCGCUGGGACCCCCUCCUCCUGAGAGGCUGGGAGCUCUGAAGGAUAAAUGAAGGUGCAGCGUGAUCAGCCUUAACACUGGGAAUGGAAGACCCACGAAGGAAAGGCCUUUUAGUUUUGUGUCUUCAAACCUGAAACACUUCUAGAUUUGACCGGAGUCCUGUCAAAUUGAGCACAAUCGGGUAUGAGGCCCGCUCCCUGGGCUUUAACAAACUCUGUUAUCGGCGUCUGCUGCACAAUCUGAAAAGGCAAGAAAUGUGGCUUUCCCUGUUUAGAAAAUCUUUGUGGGUUCCCCCCAACCCAGG